AGUGAACGCUGGCGGUAGGCCUAACACAUGCAAGUCGAACGGCAGCACAGUAAGAGCUUGCUCUUACGGGUGGCGAGUGGCGGACGGGUGAGGAAUACAUCGGAAUCUACUUUUUCGUGGGGGAUAACGUAGGGAAACUUACGCUAAUACCGCAUACGACCUACGGGUGAAAGCAGGGGAUCUUCGGACCUUGCGCGAUUGAAUGAGCCGAUGUCGGAUUAGUUAGUUGGCGGGGUAAAGGCCCACCAAGGCGACGAUCCGUAGCUGGUCUGAGAGGAUGAUCAGCCACACUGGAACUGAGACACGGUCCAGACUCCUACGGGAGGCAGCAGUGGGGAAUAUUGGACAAUGGGCGCAAGCCUGAUCCAACCAUACCGCGUGGGUGAAAAAGGCCUUCGGGUUGUAAAGCCCUUUUGUUGGGAAAGAAAAGCAGCAGGUUAAUACCCCGCUGUUCUGACGGUACCCAAAGAAUAAGCACCGGCUAACUUCGUG
RNAcentral lists this ribosomal RNA (492 nucleotides) under uncultured bacterium. RNAcentral describes it as "partial 16S ribosomal RNA". It matches the Rfam family "Bacterial small subunit ribosomal RNA", at positions 29 to 507 of the family's 1533-position model. The record is from RNAcentral.